GGUCGUAGGAGAGCUAAGUGGAAUUUCAAAGAAUAUCUUCUGAGGUCUUUAUUUUUUGGCUCUGUGACUGAGGCUCGUGACUUUGAUUAUCCCUUUAAAAAGGUCGGUAAAAAUGUCAGCACUUUGGGUUCUUGCAAUGGAUUGAUUUUCCUUGCCCAUAAUGCACAAUAUUUUCUUUUAUGGAAUUCAACAACUAGAAUGCACAAGAAUUUGCUUCAUAUUGAACUUAGUUGGAAGUACAAACUUGCCAUAGAUAGUUUUGGAUAUGAUGAGCUCUAUGACGAUUAUAAGGUAGUGGGUAUCUUUUAUAACAACCAUGUGGUUCAAAUGACAUUGAGGUUAAAAUAUAUAGUCUAAAAAGUGAUUCCUGAAGUAGUGUUGACUAUUAUGGGAAUAUAUUAAAUACUUCAUACUCUAUUAGAAAAAUAAUGUUAAGUGGUUCAGGUUUGUCUGCAAAUGGGAAGCUUCAUUGGGAUACUAUUGCAGUUGGUCCUUAUUUCACUUUUGUGUGUAUGGGCAUUAGCUAUUUUGAUUUAGCUAAUGAGAAAUGGGAAACAAUGGAGAAGCCCUCCUAUGGAGUAGAAGAGACUGAUUUGUGUCUGGGAAUGUUGGGAAGUGAUCUUUGUGUCUUUACUGAUUAUAAGAGAACUGUUUGGGUUAUGAAUGAGUACGGGGUUAAAGAGUCUUGGAUAAAGAAGUUUACCAUCACGUAUCCAAUUUAUCAAGUUUUAUAUCCACCUUUUUUCAUGUCAAAUAAAGGUGAAAUAUUGGCAGUGUUGGAAUCAAUUUCCAUAAUAUACAAUUCAAAAGAUGACACAUUCAGAUAUCCAUAUGUUACUGUGAUGACUUUCAUGGCGCGAAAAUCUAUGUUGAAAGCCUAGUUUGUUCUUUUUUAAUUGAAGUGACAGAGAAAUCAACAAAAGAAAUGCGGAAAAAGCUCAGAUCAAAACCAUCAAGUAACAAAUAAUUUUUAAGAGUACUUUCUUCUCAAGUUCUUUCAAAUUUUGUUUGUUAUUUCAAAUAUAGAAUAGACACACAUGUGAAGGAUAUGUUUAAAUUAUUUUUAUUCUGGACUAGUUCUGGUGUUCUCCUUGCUGCUAAUAUCUAGAUGUAUAUUUUCUUUAUUUGUUGAUAAGAUAAGUGGUAUUAAUAACAGCAUCGGGAAGAUGCAAAAUUUACAAGAUAUGGCAUUUGAGCUUACAAAAAAAUCUCUGGCUAACUAUACAAACUAUCUAAGCCAGAGCUAAUGAGUUAGUAAAAUCCUGAAGUUGUUCUGCAUUAACAGCAGGAUACAAGUUGGUCCAACUAAACAAAUUUUCAGUGCACCUAGUCUUCAAAAUGCCUAAAGCAGUUGACUCUCCAUCAAAACAUCUCUUGUUCCUCUCCAACCAAAUACUCCAAAAAAUACAAGCAGGUAUCAUAAUCCAGAUCUUCUUGAUGGCUUUGUCAACUUUCCAUAGACUCCAACUCUCAUAUGCAUCCUUAACAGUGAGGGGUGUGGUCCAAUUGAUGCCAGAGAGACAAAAAAACAUGCUCCAUAAUUCUGAGGCCACCUCACAAUGAAGAAGAAGGUGUCUGGGGGUUUCAGCCUCUUUUUUGCACAUAUAGCAUCUGUUUGGGAAUUGGAUUUUUCUUUUCUUUAUGUUGUCUUGGGUGAGACAUGCCUCAUAUAGAGCUAUCCAGGUAAAAAAAACUACCUUAGGUGGUAGCUUGGUCCUCCAAAUGAGUUUCCAAGGCCAGUUAGCUAUCACGGGGUUUCUAGAGCACAACUGUUGAUACCCUUCCUUGACUGUAUAAACUCCUUUCUGGUGUCCCCAUUUGAGCUUAUCAGCUGCCUGGAGAUUAAUGUGACAAUGUNNNNNNNNNNNNNNNNNNNNNNNNNNNNNNNNNNNNNNNNNNNNNNNNNNNNNNNNNNNNNNNNNNNNNNNNNNNNNNNNNNNNNNNNNNNNNNNNNNNNNNNNNNNNNNNNNNNNNNNNNNNNNNNNNNNNNNNNNNNNNNNNNNNNNNNNNNNNNNNNNNNNNNNNNNNNNNNNNNNNNNNNNNNNNNNNNNNNNNNNNNNNNNNNNNNNNNNNNNUUUUUUUUGAUAAGAUAAGUGGUAUUAAUAACAGCAUCGGGAAGAUGCAAAAUUUACAAGAUAUGGCAUUUGAGCUUACAAAAAAAUCUCUGGCUAACUAUACAAACUAUCUAAGCCAGAGCUAAUGAGUUAGUAAAAUCCUGAAGUUGUUCUGCAUUAACAGCAGGAUACAAGUUGGACCAACUAAACAAAUUUUCAAUGCACCUAGUCUUCAAAAUGCCUAAAGCAGUUGACUCUCCAUCAAAACAUCUCUUGUUCCUCUCUAACCAAAUACACCAAAAAAUACAAGCAGGUAUCAUAAUCCAGAUCUUCUUGAUGGCUUUGUCAACUUUCCAUAGACUCCAACUCUCAUAUGCAUCCUUAACAGUGAGGGGUGUGGUCCAAUUGAUGCCAGAGAGACAAAAAAACAUGCUCCAUAAUUCUGAGGCCACCUCACAAUGAAGAAGAAGGUGUCUGGGGGUUUCAGCCUCUUUUUUGCACAUAUAGCAUCUGUUUGGGAAUUGGAUUUUUCUUUUCUUUAUGUUGUCUUGGGUGAGACAUGCCUCAUAUAGAGCUAUCCAGGUAAAAAAAACUACCUUAGGUGGUAGCUUGGUCCUCCAAAUGAGUUUCCAGGGCCAGUUAGCUAUCACGGGGUUUCUAGAGCACAACUGUUGAUACCCUUCCUUGAUUGUAUAAACUCCUUUCUGGUGUCCCCAUUUGAGCUUAUCAGCUGCCUGGAGAUUAAUGUGACAAUGUUGUAGUCUAGCAAAAAGGUCUACCAGAUCAUUCACUUCCCAAUCGUGCAUAUUUCUUCUAAAUCUCAGAUCCCAAUUGAUCCCUUCUCUAUUAGCAGCAAUAACAAAAUUGGGAUCUUGAGCAAUUCUAAACAGAUCUGGGAAAUCCUCCUGAAGAGUGGUACUAGGUAACUUUCGUGCACCUCAACUAAUUCCACUAGAUACAUGUUACCUCUCACCAACAGCUUGUACUAGGUAACUUUGUCUAUCAAGGCUAGGACAGAUGAGAAAGAACCACCUAGUGUUUGUGUUGUCUCUAUUAGUGUUUGAACCUGAGACCUCAUGGUUCUCAACCCACUUCAUUGAUCACUAGGCCGCACCCUUGGGUGCUAUGUAUAUAGUGUUUAUGGAGGUCAAGUUAUUUCUUGAGUCAAGUUUAUUAUGUGCUCUUAUGCACUGUUCUUCUGUUAGGUUUCCAUAACCACAUUCUUGCAUUAUAGAGAACCCAAUGUGGCUAGGUAUGUCUACCGUUUGAUAUACUUAUGGAGAUUUCCCCAACACUAAUACGAUAACUUACCUUAUUAAAGGAAACCAUAUUUCAGCAUAAUAAAUAAUCAUGUCUAUUCAGGAACUAAUUGUAAUGUAUCAUCAAACUAAAUAAUCUUCUUUUGUUUCUUACUAGGGAAAUAGGCCGCGCUUCGCGUGAUUAUAAAAAUUCUCAUGUACCAGGUACCUGUGUCCAUCAAGGCUAGGACAAAUGAGAAGAAAUCACUUAGUGUGUUUGUCUACUUUGUUGAGAUUUGAACCUGAGACCUUAUGGUUCUCAACCCACUUCAUUGAUUUAUUUAAUCUUUUUCGUCUAUAAAUGUUGACGCUUCUUAUCUCUAUAUGUCAUGCUAUCAACAACUAUGUAUUGUGAUAUUUUAGAAUUUUGACCUAAGUCAAUGAUAGGAAAAAUAGUUAAUCCGUGUAGAAUUUUUCUUAUAGUUUGACAGACUUGCAUUCACUUAUACUUUGGUUCUAUUUGUUGAUUUGCAUAUGUUGUGAGCCAUUCAAUUGAGGAAGCAAGAGAGAGAAACAACCAAAGGGUUGGGGGGGGGGGGGGUGCGCGGCCUGUUUAUAUCCCGCCGGGGNNNNNNNNNNNNNNNNNNNNNNNNNNNNNNNNNNNNNNNNNNNNNNNNNNNNNNNNNNNNNNNNNNNNNNNNNNNNNNNNNNNNNNNNNNNNNNNNNNNNNGGGGGGGGGGGGGGGGGGGGGGGGGAUUCGUGCUAGUUGUAUCUCCCAGAGCUAGAGACGGUCAUGGUUUCAUGCUAUGUAAAUCACCUUACUGCUCCAUUUUGGCAGCAUAAUAUGAUCAUGUGAUUGACAAUGAGUGCCUGUUUUGGUAAUUCAUCAUUGUGUCAAGGGUCUACCGGGAACAACCUCUCUACCACACACAAAGGUAGGGAUAAGGUAUGCUUACAUCUUAUCCUUCAGACACCACUUGCGAGAUUACAUUGAUUAUGUUGUGAUUGGCUGGAGAAUUGCUUGUAACUUUUCUUAACUUUAGUCUUUAGAUAUGUUAUAAUAGAAAACAUAUACCACUUGAAGUUGUAUCGUCUAUUAGAUAAGUCAACUUUUGCUUAAAAUGGAAGUUAAGCACCUUUGUCAUGUCAUAAAUGUAGUUGCUAUCGAUAUAGUGCUUGUCUUUUUUGCUUAAACAAGGCAAGUAGUAACUAAUGCUAAUUUUGUUUGCCACAUAUUGGGAAAUUUGUACACCAUAGAGAAUAUUCUUGAUCGGUGUUAUCAAAAGCAAAAAUCGCAAAAAAGCUCUAAGGUUCAUUGGUAAAGUGAAUAUCAAUUGUUUAGUGUUGUCUCAUCGGAAAAGGUUCAUUGGCAAGGAAAAUUAUGUCUUAGAACCUUGAUGAUGACACUAAAGCGCACAUUAAGCGAGGCAAAGCGCUCAACACAUUUUGAACCUCGCUUCAGGGCUUAAGUGCGCCUUUGAUAACACUGGUCUUGAUCAAUUACAAUCUGUGUGCAUAGAAAUACAUUUAAUACUCUCUAUUUAGUUCAAUUCUUAUAACAAUCCCAGAAUAUUUUACUUCAUCAUUAAAAAACAAUCCCAGAAUGUUUUGUUUUUGACUUUUUUAGUCAUAUUAAUGUCUUAAGAUAUACUCUUUCUUCAUUAAAUAUUUACUUUAUGUGUACCAUCUCUCCAUAAUUGAGGUGUUUGUAGUUUCAAAGUAAAUACUACUAAGAAUAAAAAAUAAAAUAAAAAUCUGGUCUUAAACUUUUAAAAUGAAAAAUAAUUUGAGAAAACUAUUUUAAGAAAUCAUAAUGAAUUAUUUGAGAUUGAGGGAAUAGUAUAGUUGAAAGCCGGAAAAAAACCUAUAGGGACGGUUGGGAUUAGAUAUAUAAAAAUAAAUAAGAAAAAACAAUUGGAUAUACUAAACUCUCCAUAUAAUUUGAAAUUAAAAAAAAACAUUAGAUCACAAAAAUCUACGGCAAUCUUAUCCUGCAUUUCUAAGCGGGAUAUAAAUGGUUGUUUUAUUUUUUGAGACGAGUAACCCUUCAAAGUGAAACUCAAAUGGAAUUUGAAGUCUCCGAUGCUAUUCAAGUUCCAUCAAAUUCAAUGCAAGAUUCGAUCUUGACAAUUCCUUUAUUGCCACUAGAACUCAUCACUUAAAUUCUGUUGAGGCUUCCAGUGAAAUCCCUCUUGAAAUUCAGGUCUGUUUCACAAUCUUGACUUGCUUUAAUCUCUAAUCAUGUAUUUAUCAAGACUCAUCUUAGUUUAUCUGCUAAUAACAAGAAUACGGAAGACACCCACCAUGUACUUUUUUUGGAUAUUGGUGGAAAGAAAUGGAAUUACAAAGAAUGUCCUCUUAAAUCUUUAUUUUAUGACGCUGUUACCGUGGCUCUUGAAUUGGAUUUUUCCAUUGAAAACGACAUGUAUUGGCUCUAUGUUAAGGGUUCUUGCAAUGGAUUGGUUUAUCUUGCCCAUGAUAGUUUAGAAUAUUCCCUUUUAUGGAAUCCAACAACUAGAAAGCACAAGAAUUUGCCACUUUUUAGACCUAGAUUGAAAAAAUAGGAACGCGCAUAUGGUUUUGGAUAUGAUGAGCUCCAUGAUGAUUAUAAGGUAGUGAUUAUUUCUUAUAAUUAUAUUGUUCGCGAUUCAGAUGACAUUGAGGUCAAAGUAUAUAGUCUAAAGAGUGAUUCUUGGACUAGUGUUGAUUAUUGUGAUGAGACAUUCUCUAACAAAAAAAGUGUUGGUUAUUGUGGGGAUAGAUUAAUUUUUUGAAGGCUCUUUUGUGGAUGGAAAAUUUCAUUGGGGUACUUCUAUUUCUGAUCCUGAUCCUAAUGUGCGUAAAGGUAGGAACAUUAUUGCUUUUGAUUUAGCUAAUGAGAAAUGGGAAAAGGUGGAGAAGCCCUCCUAUGGAGAAGGAGAGACUGAAUUGCUUGUGGGAAAGUUAGGAAGUCAUCUUUCUGUCUUCUGUGAUUAUAAGACAACUCAUUUAGGUGCUUGGGUUAUGAAGGAGUAUGGAGUGAAAGAAAGUUGGAUAAAGAUGUUUACCAUCAGGUAUCCAAAUGAUCCAGAAUGGUAUCCAAGCUUUUUCAUGUCAAAUAAAGGUGAAAUAUUGUCGGUGUUUAGAGCAACUUCCAUGAUAUACAAUUUAAAUGAUGACUCAUUCAGAUAUUCAGAUGUUACUAACUGUCAUGACGGUUGAUAUGCACAAUUCUACCUUGAAAGCCUAGCUUGCCCUUUUUCAACCCAAGGGACAGAGGACGCCAAAAAGCUGCUCGUAUCAAAACAAUCGAGUGACAAAUAACUUGUAAGAGUACUUUCUUCUCAAGUGCUUUCAAAUUCUGUUUGUUAUUUCAAAUAUUAAACAAGACACACAUGUGAAGGAUCUCUUUAAACUAUAUUGCUUCUGGAUUAGUUUUGGUUGUCUCCUUGCUGCUAAUCGUUAGAUGUAUAUUUUCUUCCAGACGAAUUACUUGUCAUUCCAUUUUGGUCAUUUCUUUCCCUUUGACAGUACCACUAACACAAGCAACACUGCAAUGCAAGGAUAAAGAACUUAGGAGGCUCAUUUUAUCUGCUUUGAUCAUGAGGGUAGGGUGGGGAUACCAAAGAAAAAGAAUAUAAGAGAAAGAGAGUUCGGAAUGAACUUCGUUUGAGAGGGUCCUAUCUAUUCUAAGGUUUUGUAGAUUGAAGUGCAAGCUUUUGUCAACUUUGUUAUAUGACCUAGAAUUUUGAACAAGAAUUAUUCCUACUAUAAAUUCUUUUCUCUUGUUUCUACACAGACUGGCAAAUUUUAUCUAUAGUUUGACCUAUCAAUAAAUAAAAGAAAAAUUGUAUAUGUAGUUUUACCUUUUCUGAUAAUUUGUAUAUGGUUUCUUGCUUUGUAAAUCACUUAAUUACUCCUUUUGGGCAGCAUAAUAUGAUCAUGUGAUUGUCAUGAGUACUGCUUGUGAGUUUUCUUAACCAUAGUUCUUAUGAUAUUUAUUUAUAACAUAUAUCACUUGAAGUUGCACUGGUCUGGACAUCAGAUAUGCUAACUAUGGUAUAUUUGUUUGUUCAUUGCUUAAGUUGCACAGUUCAGCGCUUUUGUCAUGUCCCAGAUGUGUAGCUGGUAUUGAUAAAGAGCUUGUCAUUUUCAUUCAAACAAGGCGGACUGUUACUAAUUAUGGUUUUGUUUGCUAGUACAUUUGAACACAGGACAACCCUGCAUUUGGUGCUUCUAUAUCUGCUGUGUUUCUACUUGUCAUCAUUUGAGUUGUUAUUUAUGUGACAAAAAGUUGUUCCUAUUCUUGAUGUUGAUCUCCGAAAGAAGUUAUAUGUAUAUUUUGUGAACUGGAAGUUAGGUUCAGUGUUUCGGAUCCCAACAAGAAUGGAAGAUGGUGCAACAUAGAUCAUGGACGUUACUUCAAAUGGAAAAAACCUUAGCCUGCCUCACUUGCUUUUUUCACUACAUAAAUAAGGAUAUAAGUGAAGUCCGAUAUGUAUGGAUGAUGGAUGACACACCCAGAAUUGCUAGGUAUAAACUUAGAGAUUAAUUAUAAUAUGUUUCUUUCCAUUCCUCAUGAGCCACUUAUUUCUCCGAAACAAGAGAUUAAAGUCAUCUUUCUCCUUUUCCCUAAGAAGUCGACGGUGUUAAUUUAUUCAAGUUGUUGAGACCAUAAAAAAGGGAAGAAACAAAUGAAGGUCUCUUGUUAAUUCAAAUGAUUUUAGGUUAAUUUGAUUUGGUUUGUCU
This 8020-nucleotide long non-coding RNA is filed under the name Solanum tuberosum (potato). RNAcentral's name for it is "long non-coding RNA (STUB_LNC001981)". The record is from RNAcentral. Lineage: Eukaryota; Viridiplantae; Streptophyta; Magnoliopsida; Solanales; Solanaceae.